This 806-nucleotide ribosomal RNA is filed under the name Nocardiopsis dassonvillei. RNAcentral's name for it is "bacterial SSU rRNA". It matches the Rfam family "Bacterial small subunit ribosomal RNA", at positions 39 to 851 of the family's 1533-position model. Lineage: Bacteria; Bacillati; Actinomycetota; Actinomycetes; Streptosporangiales; Nocardiopsidaceae. The record is from RNAcentral.
GCGGGGUGCUUACACAUGCAGUCGAGCGGUAAGGCCCUUCGGGGUACACGAGCGGCGAACGGGUGAGUAACACGUGAGCAACCUGCCCCUGACUCUGGGAUAAGCGGUGGAAACGCCGUCUAAUACCGGAUACGACCCGCCACCUCAUGGUGGAGGGUGGAAAGUUUUUCGGUCAGGGAUGGGCUCGCGGCCUAUCAGCUUGUUGGUGGGGUAACGGCCUACCAAGGCGAUUACGGGUAGCCGGCCUGAGAGGGCGACCGGCCACACUGGGACUGAGACACGGCCCAGACUCCUGCGGGAGGCAGCAGUGGGGAAUAUUGCGCAAUGGGCGAAAGCCUGACGCAGCGACGCCGCGUGGGGGAUGACGGCCUUCGGGUUGUAAACCUCUUUUACCACCAACGCAGGCUUCCAGUUCUCUGGAGGUUGACGGUAGGUGGGGAAUAAGGACCGGCUAACUACGUGCCAGCAGCCGCGGUAAUACGUAGGGUCCGAGCGUUGUCCGGAAUUAUUGGGCGUAAAGAGCUCGUAGGCGGCGUGUCGCGUCUGCUGUGAAAGACCGGGGCUUAACUCCGGUUCUGCAGUGGAUACGGGCAUGCUAGAGGUAGGUAGGGGAGACUGGAAUUCCUGGUGUAGCGGUGAAAUGCGCAGAUAUCACGAGGAACACCCGUGGCUAAAGCGGGUCUCUGGGCCUUAUCUGACGCUGAGGAGCCACAACAUGGUGAGCCAACACGAUUACAUGCACUGCUAAUACAUGCCGUAUACAUUGGGGUGUUCCUGUGGGAGACUUUCUACUUUUCUCCGCUCCG